UGACUGGAGUUGAGUCGUGUGUGCUUAUGAAGGCCAUCGAAGAAUCGUGCAUCGCAAUUAUCGUUUUCUCUGAGAAUUACACUUCCUCAUGGUGGUGCUUGGAAGAGGUGGCCAAGAUUAUGGAGUGCAAUGCACAAAAGGUCAUCACCGUUCGACCGGUGUUUUAUAAAGUUGACCCAAAAGAAGGGGAG
Molecule: long non-coding RNA, 191 nt
Organism: Rhodamnia argentea
Lineage: Eukaryota; Viridiplantae; Streptophyta; Magnoliopsida; Myrtales; Myrtaceae
Exons: 3
Source: RefSeq, a predicted model, not a curated record